CGCAGCGAACUGCGAUAAGUAAUGUGAAUUGCAGAAUUCAGUGAACCAUCGAAUCUUUGAACGCACAUUGCGCCCGCCAGCAUUCUGGCGGGCAUGCCUGUCCGAGCGUCAUU
RNAcentral lists this ribosomal RNA (113 nucleotides) under Grosmannia bistata. RNAcentral describes it as "partial 5.8S ribosomal RNA". It matches the Rfam family "5.8S ribosomal RNA", at positions 44 to 154 of the family's 154-position model. From Rfam's summary of the family: 5.8S ribosomal RNA (5.8S rRNA) is a component of the large subunit of the eukaryotic ribosome. It is transcribed by RNA polymerase I as part of the 45S precursor that also contains 18S and 28S rRNA. Functionally, it is thought that 5.8S rRNA may be involved in ribosome translocation. Lineage: Eukaryota; Fungi; Ascomycota; Sordariomycetes; Ophiostomatales; Ophiostomataceae. The record is from RNAcentral.